GUCCUACGGGGGGCAGCAGUUAGGAAUAUUCGUCAAUGGGGGAAACCCUGAACGAGCAAUGCCGCGUGAAGGAUGACGGUCCUAUGGAUUGUAAACUUCUGUUGUUAGGGAAGAACGACCUAAGUAGGAAAUGACUUAGGAGUGACGGUACCUUUCAAGAAAGCUCCGGCUAACUACGUGCCAGCAGCCGCGGUAAUACGUAGGUGGCACGCGUUAUUCGGAUUUACUGGGUGUAAAGGGCGUGUAGGCGGGAAAGCAAGUCAGAUGUGAACACCACGGGCU
RNAcentral lists this ribosomal RNA (282 nucleotides) under uncultured bacterium. RNAcentral's name for it is "partial 16S ribosomal RNA". It matches the Rfam family "Bacterial small subunit ribosomal RNA", at positions 335 to 609 of the family's 1533-position model. The record is from RNAcentral.